CCUACGGGGGCAGCAGUGAGGAAUAUUGGUCAAUGGCCGGAAGCCUGAACCAGCCAUGCCGCGUGAAGGUCAGUGCCCUAUGGGCGUUAAACUUCUUUUGUGCGGGAGCAAUAAUGGUCACGUGUGGCCAGACGAGAGUACCGUACGAAUAAGCCUCGACUCACUCCGGGCCAGCAGCCGCGGUAAUACGGGGGAUGCAAGCGGUAUCCGGAUUUAUUGGGGUUAAAGGGUGCGUAGGCGGUCAGGUAAGUGAGCGGGGAAAUGCCCCCGCUCAAAGGGGGGGAGUGCCAUUGAUACUGCGUAGCUAGAGUGCGGGUGCGGUAGGUGGAAUGUGUGGUGUAGCGGUGAAAUGCAUAGAUAUCACACAGAACACCGAUUGCGAAGGCAUCUCACGAAUCCGCGAUUGACGCUGAUGCACGAAAGCGUGGGUAUCAAACAGGAUUAGAUACCCGAGUAGUC
This 459-nucleotide ribosomal RNA is filed under the name uncultured bacterium. RNAcentral's name for it is "partial 16S ribosomal RNA". It matches the Rfam family "Bacterial small subunit ribosomal RNA", at positions 338 to 795 of the family's 1533-position model. The record is from RNAcentral.